RNAcentral lists this ribosomal RNA (253 nucleotides) under uncultured bacterium. RNAcentral describes it as "partial 16S ribosomal RNA". It matches the Rfam family "Bacterial small subunit ribosomal RNA", at positions 524 to 776 of the family's 1533-position model. The record is from RNAcentral.
UACGAAGGGAGCGAGCGUUGUUCGGAAUCACUGGGCUUAAAGCGUGCGUAGGCGGACUUAUAAGUCAGAAGUGAAAGCCCAGGGCUUAACCCUGGAACUGCUUUUGAGACUGCAAGUCUAGAAACCGGAAGAGGUUAGCGGAACUCCCAGUGUAGAGGUGAAAUUCGCAGAUAUUGGGAAGAACACCAGUGGCGAAGGCGGCUAACUGGUCCGGUAUUGACGCUGAGGCACGAAAGCGUGGGUAGCAAACAGG